CCUACGGGAGGCAGCAGUGAGGAAUAUUGGUCAAUGGGCGCGAGCCUGAACCAGCCAAGUCGCGUGAAGGAUGAAUGCCCUACGGGUUGUAAACUUCUUUUAUCAAGGAAUAAAGUGAGGCACGUGUGCCUUUUUGUAUGUACUUUAUGAAUAAGGAUCGGCUAACUCCGUGCCAGCAGCCGCGGUAAUACGGAGGAUCCGAGCGUUAUCCGGAUUUAUUGGGUUUAAAGGGUGCGGAGAUGGGUUGUUAAGUCAGUGGUGAAAGGUUGCGGCUCAACCGGAAAAGUGCAAUUGAUACUGGCAGGCUUGAGUACAGUUGAGGUAGGCGGAAUUCGUGGUGUAGCGGUGAAAUGCGUAGAUAUACGGAAGAACACCAGUGGCGAAGGCAGAUUACUGGACAGUAACUGACGCUGAGGCGCGAAAGCGUGGGUAGCGAACAGGAUUAGAUACCCUUGUAGUC
RNAcentral lists this ribosomal RNA (460 nucleotides) under uncultured bacterium. Its description in RNAcentral is "partial 16S ribosomal RNA". It matches the Rfam family "Bacterial small subunit ribosomal RNA", at positions 338 to 795 of the family's 1533-position model. The record is from RNAcentral.